This is a long non-coding RNA of Eubalaena glacialis (North Atlantic right whale), 320 nucleotides long. RefSeq lists it as uncharacterized. The transcript has 3 exons. Lineage: Eukaryota; Metazoa; Chordata; Mammalia; Artiodactyla; Balaenidae. The record is from RefSeq and is a predicted model, not a curated record.
GCCUCCUCUGUGCACAGAUGGGGAAACUGAGGCCGGGAUGGGAAGGACUCAGCCAAGGCCGCACAGCAAGUCUGGGCAGAGCAUGGACCAGGCUCUUCCUACUUUCUCCACGGCACCGGGUGGAGGAAUCACAUGCAGAUCCUGCCCCUUCCAAGCUCAUAGUCGUGCUAGGGAGACAGGCCAAGGGGAAGCGUCUGACAGGUCUCACCAGCCAGACCUGAGAGAGACCCAGCUCUGCAGGCCUCGGCGCCUGCCCAGCAGUUCAACAGCCUGAUGCUGACUAUGUCUUCACAGCCCUUUACAGUUUGCAAAGCACUUGU